This 781-nucleotide long non-coding RNA is filed under the name Marmota monax (woodchuck). The record is from RNAcentral. Lineage: Eukaryota; Metazoa; Chordata; Mammalia; Rodentia; Sciuridae.
GCAAGGCGGGCGAGCUGUGAGUCCUGUACCCUUCUCUUGUGCACAGCGCACCUCUCUCGGCGGCCGGUGCAGCCCUCCUGGCCAAGUCUUGGGUGAUGAACGUCGAGCCUCCCCCCAGAGGCUUCUGCUUUCAUCCCACAGGUAUCUUAGAAGGUGGUGGUCAGUCUGGAGUUCCUGUACCUUUUAGGGACGUGAAGAGGUUGUUGUAGGACUGUAGAAAACCCAGCUACACCGAGCUCAGGCUGCCAGAUAGCUGGUGCACAUGACCCUUGAUCUCUCAAACUGGGGAAAGUCACCAUGUCUCAAGGACUGUCUCAUAGACAUAGUAUUUUUACAUUUCUCUGGGGCCCAUGGGUGAGAAUUUGGGAAAAGGAAGCUUGGUGUAGGAAAGAGGAGGGGGCUGGCGCGAUACCUGCCCCUGCAGCUGGCCUGGGACAGGAUAGGAUGACUACAGGUCCUGUGAGCACUGACCACAGGUCAGCAUCCACAUGACUGAACUAUGGUCACUGGGCCCCUUUGGCUCAUACUGAACUUUUGUGCAAAAUAAAGGCCUGGCCUGGAUGAAUGGGCAGAACGCAAGUGUCACAGCAGGCAGGGGGUAACCAGGGAAGAGCCUCCCCUGUCCUCAAGGGUAGACUCUGUAGGGUGCUUAUGACAGAACAGGCUGACUUUACCCUUUGGCAGCUUGUAUUUUAGGGGCGACCCAGUAAGUGAAUUAAACAGAUUCACGUUGUCAUCUCAGGUCCUGCUAGACACACUAGGAAGAAAGCAGGAAAUUGAG